AGGGGUAUAUAGUGCUUGCACUAUAGAGACCGGCGCACGGGUGCGUAACGCGUAUGCAAUCUACCUUAUACAGGGGAAUAGCCCAGGGAAACUUGGAUUAAUGCCCCAUAGUAUCAUUAAGUAGCAUUACUUGAUGAUUAAAGAUUUAUCGGUAUAAGAUGAGCAUGCGUCCCAUUAGUUAGUUGGUAAGGUAACGGCUUACCAAGACAGCGAUGGGUAGGGGCCCCUGAGAGGGGGAUCCCCCACACUGGUACUGAGACACGGACCAGACUCC
RNAcentral lists this ribosomal RNA (274 nucleotides) under unidentified marine bacterioplankton. Its description in RNAcentral is "partial 16S ribosomal RNA". It matches the Rfam family "Bacterial small subunit ribosomal RNA", at positions 65 to 339 of the family's 1533-position model. RNAcentral also lists the same sequence under 1 other name. The record is from RNAcentral.